Molecule: long non-coding RNA, 271 nt
Organism: Helianthus annuus (common sunflower)
Lineage: Eukaryota; Viridiplantae; Streptophyta; Magnoliopsida; Asterales; Asteraceae
Exons: 3
Source: RefSeq, a predicted model, not a curated record
CUUGAAUCAACAAAUUGAGCCACGAAUUGUAGGAAAUUCAUAUGCAUGAGCCCUCAAAAUCAAGCAUCUAACCCUAGUUAGUAAAGAGGCGUAAAGGAAGAAAGCUCGAACACUAGUAAAGCGGGAGGCGUACAAGAUCGAGGUAAAACUCCACUUUAGGCGAUUUGGAGACAUGGAGCGAGCACGUGUUCAUGCUUUAUUACACCAAGCGCUUCCGCUAGUUAUUUGCACACUUUUUGGGUCCAUGUCUUGUUAUUUUGUUUAAUCUUGU